AUCCAUCUGACGAAUCCCAAAUGGGACGAGACUCAUGUCGUGGAU
This 45-nucleotide non-coding RNA is filed under the name Schistosoma mattheei. The record is from RNAcentral. Lineage: Eukaryota; Metazoa; Platyhelminthes; Trematoda; Strigeidida; Schistosomatidae.